UUGGUGCCAGCAGCCGCGGUAAGACGGAGGAUGCAAGCGUUAUCCGGAAUUAUUGGGCGUAAAGCGUCUGCAGGUGGCCAAUCAAGUCUGCUGUUAAAUAUCGGGGCUCAACUCCGAAUCGGCAGUGGAAACUGAUUAGCUAGAGUGCGGUAGGGGUAGAGGGAAUUCCCAGUGUAGCGGUGAAAUGCGUAGAUAUUGGGAAGAACACCAGUGGCGAAGGCGCUCUACUGGGCCGCAACUGACACUGAGGGACGAAAGCUAGGGGAGCGAAUGGGAUUAGAUACCCCAGUAGUCCUAGCUGUAAACGAUGGAUACUAGGUGUUGGCCGUGUCGACCCGGCCAGUAUCGUAGCUAACGCGUUAAGUAUCCCGCCUGGGGAGUACGCACGCAAGUGUGAAACUCAAAGGAAUUGACGGGGGCCCGCACAAGCGGUGGAGUAUGUGGUUUAAUUCGAUGCAACGCGAAGAACCUUACCAGGGUUUGACAUGCCGCGAAUCUAGGGGAGACCUUAGAGUGCCUUCGGGAGCGCGGACACAGGUGGUGCAUGGCCGUUCUU
This 556-nucleotide ribosomal RNA is filed under the name uncultured bacterium. RNAcentral describes it as "bacterial SSU rRNA". It matches the Rfam family "Bacterial small subunit ribosomal RNA", at positions 502 to 1056 of the family's 1533-position model. The record is from RNAcentral.